AUCAAAUGAGAAAUUGAAAAUGUGCAGAGGGGGAGAAAGAAAACCGUCGUCGCCGCCUUCACUCUUCUUCCCAUGAUCGUGGCGCUUUCCGCCACCAAAGGUCAUCAUCACUCUCAUUAUUCCCUAGCGCCGGCUCCAGCUCUCUCCCAGUAGUGAGAUCUUUUCCGCUCCUCCCCCUGCCCCGGUGCACGCUGGUGGUGCUUCACCGUCCUUCACACCUGCUCUCUUUGGUGGUUUAUCUCUUCUACUUCUUGCCUUAAGAAAUGUCGGUUGAAGAAAUGUUGCAUCAGCUGCAGCCAUCGCCCUCGAUCUUCGUCCCGGCGUCGGCCCUUCCACUCUAGGUGCAUUGAUUUGAUAAGUUAUGGAGGAGAUUGCCAAAUAUAUACAAGAUGAUGGACCUGGAUCGCUAAGAGAAGCGUGUCGGAUAAAGUAACCACUCUGGAUUGUUUGAGGUCAUACUUGAAUGUGUCAUCUUAACAAUGGCGGAAGAAUACAAGACCACCAUGUAAUCAGUCAGGUCAUGGGUCGUUCAACACAAGCUUCGUACCGUCGCAACCGAGCUCGAGUAUUCCGGCAAUAAUUUGAAAUGGAAAGCAGAAGGAUCUCUUCUUAUCUCGCUCACUUUUAACUUAUCUCACCUCUCCUGUUGUACGUUUUUCCUACAGAAGUUUAACCAAGCUUAGGCUGUUUGGAAUGGGUUUUUAACCUGGUCAUUAGUGUACUGAACUUAGUCUGCAUAUAAAGCUUUCUCAAACAAGGAUUUCACCAGGGAUAUAGAAGCAUGCCAGCUGACUUUCAGAAACGAAGAGAGCUGCUAGCUGACAGUGGUUUGGAAACUCUCUCUUACUCAACGUACUCUGGAAAAGAAACUUGAUAGUAUCAUUGAUGUCUAAAAUUGAGCAGGAGAUUGCUGAUGAACUUGGUGUUGUAGGAGGCUCACAUCCAUAGAAGAUGGUAAAAUUAUCAACUGCAUCUAUUGUAACGGGUGUAGUUUCAGGUGGUAUUGAACAACCUGUCUGGGCAGUAGUUAGUCCAGAAGUCAUUUCGAGCAACAGAGACCGUUACGGUAUUUCUCUGCUGUUGUUGUCACCAAAUUAUCCGGAGUAUCAUAUUCUUCACUGCAAUCAAGCUGGAAACCAAGAUAACCACAAUAUGCAGGACGGAUUUGUCCAUCAUAGAAAGGAUAGCUUAAACUGACAAUUCUACAAAGAAAAUUCCCUCUGCAAUCUUCGUAUUCAUUACCCUCAACAGAUUUACGGAGUUGGAUUAAGAGGGAGAUGAUGAUGAAGAGAACGAAAGACGAUUGAGCACAGAACAUCAUCUUUGGGAGCUUAAUAUUUUUUGUUAAAUAUGAACUUUUUUGGUUAUCUAAAGAUGAGCUUUGUGAACAUAUUUUAUCCAAUAUUUAUAUUAGUGGUAGUAAUACAAUUUUA
Molecule: long non-coding RNA, 1433 nt
Organism: Spinacia oleracea (spinach)
Lineage: Eukaryota; Viridiplantae; Streptophyta; Magnoliopsida; Caryophyllales; Amaranthaceae
Exons: 6
Source: RefSeq, a predicted model, not a curated record